CUGUGAUUGGGUGGGAGAACUUUGAGCUGCUCCGUAUUUCAGCUGGUGGAAUAUUAAUAUUAUCUAUUGGAAACAUUUUCGUAGACCGCAAAAGGCUAAUGUGCCUCAGGAGCAAGAUUCGUCCAGGAGGGGCCAAGGUCGCCGUGCGUCUGGGCUUGCCCGCUCCCAGGUCAAGAAAUCCCAGCGCAAGAACCUCACUUGGACUUCAGUGAAUGUCCUCACUGCCACGCAACAAGUGUGCAGCAGAUGUCAGAGGCCUGCAGUUAAGAAAUCCCCUGGUCUGGAGGCACAAUUUCCAGCGUGUCCUGUGGGCACACAUCUGAAGGUAGGUUUGUAACAAACACACUGUCAGCUACGGAAAAUACGCAGUCUGUGAGAAGAGGAAAUGCUGCAGAUCUGAGCAUGACGCUUUCCCUUGUGUGUUCUCUAACGAAGCGUUUCCAAACGAGGAGGCAGCGGUGGCCCGAGAGCUGUCACACUCCAUCUGGGUGAAGACCCACCUCCUUUCCCGGUUCCUCUCUCGCGCUGGUGCUGAGGUUUGCAGUGGAG
RNAcentral lists this long non-coding RNA (549 nucleotides) under Calidris pygmaea (Spoon-billed sandpiper). RNAcentral describes it as "lncRNA (ENSCPGG00000012249.1)". Lineage: Eukaryota; Metazoa; Chordata; Aves; Charadriiformes; Scolopacidae. The record is from RNAcentral.